Molecule: non-coding RNA, 885 nt
Organism: Rattus norvegicus (Norway rat)
Lineage: Eukaryota; Metazoa; Chordata; Mammalia; Rodentia; Muridae
Source: RefSeq, a predicted model, not a curated record
AGGUCAGAGAGCCUCAGCUCAUCCUGCCACAAUCCCCUGGUGAAAGACUCAGGGGUACUUUAGUCCAGAGCAAGAGGGUCGGGCGCUACUUAAGGAAACCGUGCAGAAGGCAGGGGUUGGGCUCAAACUGAGAAGGGUCUUAACAGAGAGAGUUUUGUCUUCUGCCGCUAAAACCAGCUCUUAUCAGCAGAAUUUCCUCACUGAGUUCGACAGCUCUGAACUUGAGGACAAGGGACCACUUCCAUUCUGAAGUUACCUAGGCGUGCUUCACUGCCGUAGACCCAAGAACUCUAAAGGUCCGGUACUGUAUAUGACUUCACAGUGGUAUCCUACAGAGGGGUGAUUGAUGACAUCUUGAAGUCCUCAUCUUCUCCAGAUGCCUGUGUUUGUGUUCAUUUGGAGAUAGGGUUUAACCAUAGAGGACAUGCUGGCCUUGAAGCCAUGAUUCUUCUGGCCCACUAAGGAGAUAACUGGUCUUAUACAUUCACCCUAUGCACAGACGUUUUAGAGACUGCCUGUGAGGCCUUGAAGAUAACUACUACCCAUGUCAUUGAACACAGAGAAACCAAACUUGUUCCUACCAGGAGUCUUCACCCUGUGGAUUAGUGUUCAUGGUACUGUAUGGUGAUCUGUGUGCUACCGAAGGAGAAACAUAAACACCAAUCCAGCUACAAACUCUCCUGUCUAACAUAGUGAACCACUUGCAAUCUGCGGUAGUGGGAUAGUGGCACAGGGCUUGUGGAACUUUUUGGUCGGAUUUGAGGCGCAUUGAAUUUGGUGGAACCCAACCCCAAGGCUUCACAGGUGGCAAGAACCUAAGAGCAGAGAGCUCAGGGAUCUAGGGGAAACCAAAGAAAUACAGCAAUAAAAUGUCUCCUAACAAUA